RNAcentral lists this ribosomal RNA (274 nucleotides) under uncultured bacterium. RNAcentral's name for it is "partial 16S ribosomal RNA". It matches the Rfam family "Bacterial small subunit ribosomal RNA", at positions 523 to 796 of the family's 1533-position model. The record is from RNAcentral.
CUACGGAGGGUGCAAGCGUUGUUGGGAAUUACUGGGCGUAAAGCGCGUGUAGGCGGUUUGGUAAGUCAGAUGUGAAAGCCCUGGGCUCAACCCGGGAAGUGCAUUUGAAACUGCCUUUCUUGAGUAUGGGAGGGGAGAGUGGAAUUCCCAGUGUAGAGGUGAAAUUCGUAGAUAUUGGGAGGAACACCCGUGGCGAAGGCGACUCUCUGGACCAAUACUGACGCUGAGACGCGAAAGCGUGGGGAGCAAACAGGAUUAGAAACCCCAGUAGUCC